Triticum aestivum (bread wheat) is the source of this 2588-nucleotide long non-coding RNA. RefSeq lists it as uncharacterized. The transcript is spliced from 4 exons. The record is from RefSeq and is a predicted model, not a curated record. Lineage: Eukaryota; Viridiplantae; Streptophyta; Magnoliopsida; Poales; Poaceae.
AUCUAUUCCUCUCCCGAUGCCUCUGCUCCCCACCUCCAUCGUCAUCGCAACCACUAAGGCCAUCGCUAUCUGUCCUCUCUCGUGUUUGUUCUUCCUCCGAUCGAUGCAUCCGCUCGUGGGGGCGCUGCUGGUGGGGGCCAGGGAGCAUUGGUGGUGGCCGUGCUAGGGCCUGACGGCGCGUCAUGCGGCUGCGUGGGCGGGCACGCUGGAACCGGCCGUGUCGGUAGCGUCGUUCGCGCUGGAGACCAUGUUCAUGUGGGUGCUGGGCAGCGGCGGGUGCGCGGCCGGGUCGGUGCGCGUGCCGCUCGACGGCGGCGGGGACGAUACCAAUCUACUCCGCCUCCAGACAUCACUCCCUCCGCUCCUGCAGUUCACGCCUCUUCCUCUAGCAAGAUCGGCGGUGGCUACACCUCCCGAGGAUGUCCUUGCGCUCUUCCUGUCCCAUAUCGCUAUUGCUUGCUCCCGCCUCUAUAACCACCAUACGAAGCGCCGGCGGAGCUUACACCUCCUCCAGCCGCCUCAUCCCCAGGUGAGCCCCCUCAAAGAUCCAUGGCAGCACGGGCGGUGACACAGAAACACAUAGGAAGAGGCGGCCAGUUUCUUCAAUGUAUUGUAGACCCGUUAUUGAUAGGAAAUAAUAACAAAAGGGAAGUAUAUGUCGCCAGACUUACUAAUCAUUUGCCACUCUUUUCUUCCGCUUUCCAAAUUCAUUUCCCUAGGGACGAGACGUUAUGAGGUUCCAUGUCUGUAUUUCUGGUAAAAGAAUCAAUUUAGCCCAAUUAUGUUUUCUUGUUAGCACUUGGUAAAUCUUGCAGUCAGGCAAAUUAUAUGUACUCCAACUGUUUAGGAUAGGUGGAGCAGCCUAGCUCCAUAUCUCACAAUAAACUCAUGCUAUGUCUUGUGCUACCACGUUUGUGUUUUGUAAGUUGAGAAGCUAUAAUUGGCUAUUGGCUAUGGUAGUUUCUUGGCGGACUUUUUUUUUCUGGUUCUGCUCAACAAUUGUAGCUUGUGAAUUGCAGGUCAUAUCUGAAGAUUUACCUACUAUUAUUUCUGAUGUUUCAUUCCCCAAGUCUAUGAUGCCUGAAACUUUAAAUGUUCUGUUUAGUCAUACUGUGGAUCAUGGCGAUUCAUGGAGAUCUUGUUGUGCCAUUUUCUUUUGCUGGCAUCUCAAGGUGAUAUUUUAGUGGAUACUUAAUUUAUAUAUUUUUUUAACAAUUAUAAUUUGCUAUGGGGCAGUAGGAGCCACUCAUUCUCCUCUUUUGUGAAUUUUAAGGUACACAUUGGACUAUCAUGUGUAUUUUGUUUGUUUUGGUUUCUUCUUAUGAUUUCUAUUUGAUAUUCAUUCUCCUCUUUUGUAAAUUUUAAGGUACACAUUGGACUAUCAUGUGUAUUUUGUUUGUUUUGGUUUCUUCAUAUGAUUUCUAUUUUGAUAUGAAUAUUGAUGUUUAAACUCACAAGUAUCAUAUCGAAUUAUCCACUAUGUAUUGCAGGUAGCAAUAUUGAAUGGCCUUAGUAACAUUUCCCUUUUCAAGGCAUAAUGUCUGUCCUGGUACUUGCACCGGACAUAAACUAUUGUAAAUAUAGUAAAAUCUUAUAUUUCUAUUGUGGGAUUUCACUCUUUGGUGUGUGACAGGCUGGCGGUUGUGCUUGCUGUCUCCAGUGUUUAGGUGGAAACUACAUAAUCAUAUUUGGUAACUUUAGGGAGAAGUUGUGAUUUUUGUUGGUAUGCAGGUGGAAACUACAGAAUCAUAUUUGCUAACUGUGUGGGAAAGCUGGGAUUUUUGUUGGUAUGCAUGUCAGAUACAAGGUGCAUGUAUUGCUCAAAUAUUUCAGUGGUCCUAUUACAUUACUGUAUUUAGUAAAAACAUGCUCUGGCUCUGAUCGUACAACUUUGCACUAAUACUCCGACAAAUGUGGCCCUGCUUGAUCUUAGGUUAAUAAUUUUAUAUUGCUGGCGGAUUAAUUCAUAUAGCUCUUUAACUUUUGGAAGAGAUAACUCAGAUGACUUAGGCUGGUCACAAUGGGCAAGAACAUAAGCUAGUAACUUCACACAUCCCUAGACUAUGUUACUACCUCCAUAGUGGGUAGGAACAUCUAUGUAGUGUCAUGCAAUGAUGUAUUUAUUAGGUUAUAGACUCAUUGUUUCUUGGAAUGUGUGAUGUUCCGGUAACUUAGCUAGUUACCACAAGCACCUCUCUCUUCAUUAAAUACGUGCCACAUAAGCAAAGUUGUAUUGAAGUGUGUGAUGUUACUCCUAAGUUCCUCCCCACUGUGACCAGCCUUAUGAGAAGAUGCUCUGAUAGAUGUGCAAUGUACCAAAAAAGAGUUCUUUUGGCAACAUAAUUUCAUGUAAUUUGUGCGGAGCUACCUUGAAAGAGCAAUAAAACUCUAGAAGGAGCAAGGACCACCACAUGGUGAACACUUGCACCUGUGCAUGAAGAGCGCCAGCCGUUGAAUGGCGUGGCACAUCAAGUCAGGGAAACAUUACUUUCUUCACUGCUCUCCAAUGUGUGCUUUUGCUUUCUCCCUCUUCCUUAUUUAUUAGAGCUUUUAUCAAUAUAUUUAAAAAAAGGUUCUACGCCUUUUCA